This 430-nucleotide ribosomal RNA is filed under the name uncultured marine bacterium 311. RNAcentral's name for it is "bacterial SSU rRNA". It matches the Rfam family "Bacterial small subunit ribosomal RNA", at positions 1095 to 1525 of the family's 1533-position model. The record is from RNAcentral.
AGCGCACCCCUAUCCUUAUUUGCCAGCGCAUAAUUGCGGGAACUAUAAGGAGACUGCCGGUCAUAAACCGGAGGAAGGCGGGGACGACGUCAAGUCAUCAUGGCCCUUAUGGGUAGGGCUACACACGUGAUACAAUGGGUGGUACAGAGGGUCGCCAAAGCGCGAGCUGGAGCCAAACCCUUAAAACCAUUCUUAGUCCGGAUUGGAGUCUGCAACUCGACUCCAUGAAGUCGGAAUCGCUAGUAAUCGCGAAUCAGAAUGUCGCGGUGAAUACGUUCUCGGGCCUUGUACACACCGCCCGUCACGUCAUGGAAGUGGGUUGCACCAGAAGUGGCUUGUUUAACCUUCGGGAAAACGGUCACCACGGUGUGAUUCACAACUGGGACGAAGUCGUAACAAGGUAGCCCUAGGGGAACCUGGGGCUGGAUCA